UACAGAGGGUGCAAGCGUUAAUCGGAAUUACUGGGCGUAAAGCGAGCGUAGUCGGUUAUUUAAGUCGGAUGUGAAAUCCCCGGGCUCAACCUGGGAAUUGCAUUCGAUACUGGAUAGCUAGAGUUCGGCAGAGGGAAGCGGAAUUUCCGGUGUAGCGGUGAAAUGCGUAGAUAUCGGAAGGAACAUCAGUGGCGAAAGCGGCUUCCUGGACCAGUACCGACGUUCAGGCACGAAAGCGUGGGGAGCAAACAGG
Molecule: ribosomal RNA, 253 nt
Filed under: uncultured bacterium
Lineage: Bacteria
Description: partial 16S ribosomal RNA
Rfam family: Bacterial small subunit ribosomal RNA
Source: RNAcentral